UACAGAGGUCUCAAGCGUUGUUCGGAUUCAUUGGGCGUAAAGGGUGCGUAGGCGGCGCGGUAAGUCGGGUGUGAAAUCUUGGAGCUUAACUCCGAAACUGCAUUUGAUACUGUGGUGCUUGAGGACUGGAGAGGAGACUGGAAUUUACGGUGUAGCAGUGAAAUGCGUAGAGAUCGUAAGGAAGACCAGUGGCGAAGGCGGGUCUCUGGACAGUUCCUGACACUGAGGCACGAAGGCCAGGGGAGCAAACGGG
RNAcentral lists this ribosomal RNA (253 nucleotides) under uncultured bacterium. Its description in RNAcentral is "partial 16S ribosomal RNA". It matches the Rfam family "Bacterial small subunit ribosomal RNA", at positions 524 to 776 of the family's 1533-position model. The record is from RNAcentral.